AUUGAACGCUGGCGGCAUGCCUUACACAUGCAAGUCGAACGGUAACGGCAGCGCGGGAGCUUUCCUGGCGACGAGUGGCGAACGGGUGAGUAAUACCUGGGAACCUGCCCAAUCGAGGGGGAUAACGCAGCGAAAGCUGUGCUAAUACCGCAUAAGAUCUACGGAUGAAAGAGGGGGACCGCAAGACCUUGCGCCAACGGAGCGGCCCAUGGCAGAUUAGCUAGUUGGUGGGGUAACGGCUCACCAAGCCUUCGAUCUGUAGCUGGUCUGAGAGGAUGACCAGCCACACUGGGACUGAGACACGGCCCAGACUCCUACGGGAGGCACCAUUGGGGAAUAUUCCACAAUGGGCGCAACCCUGAUGCACCCAUCCCCCGUGUUUAAAAAAGGCCUCCGGGUUGUAAAGUACUUUCACCGGGGAGGAAGGGAGUAAAUUUAAUACCUUUGCUCAUUGACGUUACCCGUAAGAUAAGCACCGGCUAACUCCGUGCCAGCAGCCGCGGUAAUAAGUAGGGUGCAAGCGUUAAUCGGAAUUACUGGGCGUAAAGCGUGCGCAGGCGGUAAUGUAAGACAGUUGUGAAAUCCCCGGGCUUAACCUGGGAAGGGCAUUUGAGACUGCAUUGCUUGAGUACGGUAGAGGGGGGUGGAAUUUCGUGUGUAGCAGUGAAAUGCGUAGAUAUGCGGAGGAACACCGAUGGCGAAGGCGAUCCCCUGGGCCUGUACUGACGCUCAUGCACGAAAGCGUGGGGAGCAAACAGGAUUAGAUACCCUGGUAGUCCACGCCCUAAACGAUGUCAACUUGGUUGUUGGGUCUUCACUGACUCAGUAACGAAGCUAACGCGUGAAGUUGACCGCCUGGGGAGUACGGCCGCAAGGUUGAAACUCAAAGGAAUUGACGGGGGCCCGCACAAGCGGUGGAGCAUGUGGUUUAAUUCGAUGCAACGCGAAAAACCUUACCCACCUUUGACAUGUACGGAAUUCGCCAGAGAUGGCUUAGUGCUCGAAAGAGAACCGUAACAGGUGCUGCAUGGCUGUCGUCAGCUCGUGUUGUGAAAUGUUGGGUUAAGUCCCGCAAAGAGCGCAACCCCUAUCCUUUGUUGCCAGCGGUCCGGCCGGGAACUCAAAGGAGAAUGCCAGUGAUAAACUGGAGGAAGGUGGGGAGGAAGUCAAGUUAUUAUGGCCCUUACGACCAGGGCUACACACGUCAUACAAUGGCUGGUACAAAGGGUUGCCACCCCGCGAGGCGGAGCUAAUCCCAUAAAAUCAGUCGUAGUCCGGAUCGCAGUCUGCAACUCGACUGCGUGAAGUCGGAAUCGCUAGUAAUCGUGGAUCAGAAUGUCACGGUGAAUACGUUCCCGGGCCUUGUACACACCGCCCG
RNAcentral lists this ribosomal RNA (1378 nucleotides) under Variovorax paradoxus. RNAcentral's name for it is "16S ribosomal RNA". It matches the Rfam family "Bacterial small subunit ribosomal RNA", at positions 28 to 1396 of the family's 1533-position model. The record is from RNAcentral. Lineage: Bacteria; Pseudomonadati; Pseudomonadota; Betaproteobacteria; Burkholderiales; Comamonadaceae.